RNAcentral lists this ribosomal RNA (477 nucleotides) under uncultured Acidobacteriota bacterium. RNAcentral describes it as "bacterial SSU rRNA". It matches the Rfam family "Bacterial small subunit ribosomal RNA", at positions 224 to 704 of the family's 1533-position model. Lineage: Bacteria; Pseudomonadati; Acidobacteriota. The record is from RNAcentral.
GAGGGGCCCGCGCCCGAUUAGCUUGUUGGUAGGGUAACGGCCUACCAAGGCUUUGAUCGGUAGCCGGUCUGAGAGGAUGGCCGGCCACACUGGAACUGAGACGCGGUCCAGACUCCUACGGGAGGCAGCAGUGGGGAAUCUUGCGCAAUGGGCGAAAGCCUGACGCAGCGACGCCGCGUGGGGGAUGAAGCCUUUCGGGGUGUAAACCCCUUUCGACCCGGACGAAUGGCCCGCAAGGGAAUUGACGGUACGGGUAGAAGAAGCCCCGGCUAACUACGUGCCAGCAGCCGCGGUAAGACGUAGGGGGCCAGCGUUGCUCGGAAUUACUGGGCGUAAAGGGUCCGUAGGCGGUGCGGCAAGUCGGGGGUGAAAUCUCUGGGCUUAACUCAGAGGCUGCCUCCGAAACUGCCGUGCUCGAGUGCGGGAGAGGCGAGCGGAAUUGCAGGUGUAGCGGUGAAAUGCGUAGAUAUCUGCAGG